Long non-coding RNA from Balaenoptera acutorostrata (minke whale), 1296 nucleotides. RefSeq lists it as uncharacterized. Lineage: Eukaryota; Metazoa; Chordata; Mammalia; Artiodactyla; Balaenopteridae. The transcript has 5 exons. The record is from RefSeq and is a predicted model, not a curated record.
ACAGUGGGGCAGACUGACCAUGGAGCGUGUGUCUGAGUGGAGGGAGAUGGUGGAUCAUGGCAGGGCUGGUGGCGAAGAGGACACUGGGAAAUCUGUCAAGGCUGCCCUGGUGAGCGGAUCAGGGAGAGACCACUGGUUUUCCUGUAUCUUGUAAAAUGUCUGCAAAGGCUGUACUCCUGUGUAAUCAGAUGGGGAAAGUGGGCCACUUAGAAGCUAAAUAGCUUGCUCAACAUUUCCUGGCUAGUUAGCGGCGAAGUCCGGGUUUAAACCCAGGCUACCUGGCUCCAGAGUCUAUGCUAUACGAAACUAAACCGGUGCCGAGACUACUGAGCAAGAUUUCAUGUUCUACUGUGGAGCCUGAGUGCCUGCAAGACGUCCUCUAGUGAGUGAGCAAGAUGAGCUACCAAAUCUUAGUUCAUUAUUAGCAUCCACAACAGCCUGCAGAGAGAAGAGAGCUGGCCUGAGCAGUUCAAAUUCCAGGGAACUCCCCCAAGAACAACAGAAAGAUCGGUGUCUGGAGCCGCUUCCAACCGUGGUUUAUCUUUAAACCAGAAAGUUGGGAAACUGAGGUCAUUGUUUGUGAGAUGUGUACAGAAUCAGCUGUGUCUUCAUGAGACCAGCAGUGUUGCAAACACAGACAUCUGUGGACACUUCGCUUAUUAGAGAGGAUGCAAAGUCUUUAAAAGGAUAAAAGAAGUCAAAGUCCUCCCAAGAGCUGAAUGGUGGAGGAAGGACACUUGGAAGAGAAAGAGGACAGACUCUGAACUUUUGGAGCCAAACAGACCCAGGCUGUGCCUGGGAGAGGAAGUCAGACGUCAGGAGGGAGGGACGGCCACUCAUAACCGACGAGUCACGAGGAAGGGAGACGACUUGUCCAAGAGAUGGAGAAACAACGUCCUGACAGAAUGAACAGUGUCUCACCAUGUGAAGAAAAGAAAAAGGUGACCACUCCAGGUAAAGGAGUGAGACAAACAUGCCACUGUUAAGCUUGUGAAGACCACCUGAGCACUAGAUCAAGGAAAGGAGGCUUUACAACCACGAGAACAAACAUAAAAACAACCAACAAAAACCAGAAGCUAUUCUUCUACUUCUGCAUUAUUUAAGUAAUAUGAGAUUACUCAGUCCAGAAGUUACACUGAAACCUAAAAACAUAGUUAUUUGUGAAUAUAAUUUAGUAGAUUAAAUGUCCUUACUAUCAAGAUGAUGCAGUGAAAGAGACAUGAAAGAUACCUGUUCAAAUACCAUGGGUAGCUGGCAUACUACAGACAUGUGGGGCAGAGUGAGAGAUUCGGUCCU